This 480-nucleotide ribosomal RNA is filed under the name uncultured bacterium. RNAcentral describes it as "bacterial SSU rRNA". It matches the Rfam family "Bacterial small subunit ribosomal RNA", at positions 19 to 518 of the family's 1533-position model. The record is from RNAcentral.
AUGGCUCGGGACGAACGCUGGCGGCGUGCCUAACACAUGCAAGUCGAGCGGGGAGGCCCUUCGGGCCUUCUAGCGGCGGACGGGUGAGUAACGCGUGAGCAACCUUUCCUCACAGGGGGAUAACGCAGCGAAAGCUGUGCUAAUACCGCAUGAGACUACAGAGCUACAUGGCUUAGGAGUCAAAGGAGCAAUCCGGUGAAGGGUGGGCUCGCGUCUGAUUAGCUAGUUGGCGAGGUAACGGCCCACCAAGGCGACGAUCAGUAGCCGACCUGAGAGGGUGAUCGGCCACACUGGGACUGAGACACGGCCCAGACUCCUACGGGAGGCAGCAGUGGGGAAUAUUGGGCAAUGGGGGAAACCCUGACCCAGCAACGCCGCGUGAGGGAAGAAGGUUUUCGGAUUGUAAACCUCUGUCCUUGGUGAAGAGCAGAAGACGGUAGCCAAGGAGGAAGCCCCGGCUAACUACGUGCCAGCCGCAGC